GAUGAACGCUAGCGGCAGGCUUAACACAUGCAAGUCGAGGGGCAGCAUAAUGGAUAGCAAUAUCUAUGGUGGCGACCGGCGCACGGGUGCGUAACGCGUAUGCAACCUACCUUUAACAGGGGGAUAACACUGAGAAAUUGGUACUAAUACCCCAUAAUAUCAUAGAAGGCAUCUUUUAUGGUUGAAAAUUCCGAUGGUUAGAGAUGGGCAUGCGUUGUAUUAGCUAGUUGGUGGGGUAACGGCUCACCAAGGCGACGAUACAUAGGGGGACUGAGAGGUUAACCCCCCACACUGGUACUGAGACACGGACCAGACUCCUACGGGAGGCAGCAGUGAGGAAUAUUGGUCAAUGGACGCAAGUCUGAACCAGCCAUGCCGCGUGCAGGAUGACGGCUCUAUGAGUUGUAAACUGCUUUUGUACGAGUGUAAACGCAGAUACGUGUAUCUGUCUGAAAGUAUCGUACGAAUAAGGAUCGGCUAACUCCGUGCCAGCAGCCGCGGUAAUACGGAGGAUUCAAGCGUUAUCCGGAUUUAUUGGGUUUAAAGGGUGCGUAGGCGGUUUGAUAAGUUAGAGGUGAAAUUUCGGGGCUCAACCCUGAACGUGCCUCUAAUACUGUUGAGGUAGAGAGUAGAUGCGGUAGGCGGAAUGUAUGGAGUAGCGGUGAAAUGAUUAGUGAUCAUACAGAACACCGAUUGAGAAGGCAGCUUACCAAACUAUAUCUGACGAUGAGGCUCGAAAGUGUGGGUAGCAAACAGGAUUAGAUACCCUGGUAGUCCACGCAGUAAACGAUGAUUACUAGGUGUUGGAGGAUUGACCCCUUCAGUGCCGCAGUUAACACAAUAAGUAAUCCACCUGGGGAGUACGACCGCAAGGUUGAAACUCAAAGGAAUUGUCGGGGGCCCGCACAAGCAGUGGAGUAUGUGGUUUAAUUCGACGCAACGCGAAGAACCUUACCAAGUCUUGACAUCCCUUGACAGACAUAGAAAUAUGUAAUCUCUUCGGAGCAAGGAGACAGGUGGUGCAUGGUUGUCGUCAGCUCGUGUCGUGAGAUGUUGGGUUAAGUCCCGCAACGAGCGCAACCCUUAUGGUCAGUUACUACGCAAGAGGACUCUGGCCAGACUGCCGUUGACAAAACGGAGGAAGGUGGGGAUGACGUCAAAUCAUCAUGCCCUUUAUGACUUGGGCUACACACGUACUACAAUGGCGUUAAACAAAGAGAAGCAAGACCGCGAGGUGGAGCAAAACUCAGAAACAACGUCCCAGUUCGGACUGCGGGCUGCAACUCGCCUGCACGAAGUCGGAAUUGCUAGUAAUCGUGGAUCAGCAUGCCACGGUGAAUACGUUCCCGGGCCUUGCACA
RNAcentral lists this ribosomal RNA (1360 nucleotides) under uncultured bacterium. RNAcentral's name for it is "partial 16S ribosomal RNA". It matches the Rfam family "Bacterial small subunit ribosomal RNA", at positions 28 to 1387 of the family's 1533-position model. The record is from RNAcentral.